UACAGAGGGGGCAAGCGUUAUUCGGAAUUAUUGGGCGUAAAGGGCGCGUAGGCGGCAUGGCAAGUGGAUGGUGAAAUCCCUCGGCUUAACCGAGGAACUGCCGUCCAAACUGCUUCGCUUGAGACCGGGAGAGGUGAGUGGAAUUCCCAGUGUAGCGGUGAAAUGCGUAGAUAUCAGGAGGAACACCUGUGGCGAAAGCGGCGCACUGGACCACAACUGACGCUGAGGCGCGAAAGCUAGGGGAGCAAACAGG
RNAcentral lists this ribosomal RNA (253 nucleotides) under uncultured bacterium. Its description in RNAcentral is "partial 16S ribosomal RNA". It matches the Rfam family "Bacterial small subunit ribosomal RNA", at positions 524 to 776 of the family's 1533-position model. The record is from RNAcentral.